CGAAAUAUGAGCUUUGUCAAGAGAAUAUAUGCGGUUCUAACAAAUAUAAGGGUCGUGUUGAGACUGGAAAUUGAUAUUGUUUGCUUGCAUGGAUUACUGUAGUUGUGUCAAGGAAACAUUUCAAUCAAUAUUUCUGUAAAUCCAAGCCGCACCACGUGGGUUGGGUUUGUCCAAUCGGUGCAAAGCUGUGAUACACGAAAGUAUGCUCUUUGUUCUGGAUUUUGCAAAGUUAUACGGUCUAAUUAACUUUAAUACAACAACAUGUGGACAAAUGAUAUCAUGUGUUACCGCAAGAUGACAAUCCGGAUACAUCAAUAUCUUUUUUCCUGGAGCAGUUGUGUAGCCUCCAACCUUUGGCAAACAGUGCGCCAUUAGCUUAUUUAUCACAUGACUUCCCUUCCCCCCACUUCACUGAAUGAGGAAGAAGUCGGACAUGUUGGAGGAAAAUGUGUUGAAAAAAAACGAUCGUGGUGAAGGACAAGGAGAUUUUUGAAGGAAAGUUUUACUCUGCGUAAUGGAUUUACAAAUCGAGAUUUUUUAGUAGUUAAUUUUUAUGUAACCCUGGGAAUCAAUUUGCAAAAUGUAUUUUUUUCCUUCAUAUUUACUCACGAUUAAGAACAUCAAUGCAUGGUUUAAUUCAAUGUUCAUUGUAUUUAGAGGCUUUUAAAUGUAUAAUUUUUGUCCGUAUAUAUUGAAAAUCGUGAGAAUUUAGUUCAGUGACAUUGGAGAGAACGUGUAACCUUGGUGUGGGGGAUGGGUAUUAGCAUUAGGGAACCAUUUUGUACAGCUCUUAACUACUUUAUUCUUAACGAGUUUAUUUUGUUGUCGAAGGUUGGCAUUUUGCUGAUUCAUUGGUAGUUUGUUGCACGUGGACUUGGUAGAAUGAGUAUCUUGUCGGUAUAUGAUAGGAACUGUUUGGGGAUUUAGUUUGUCUGAAUGUAGGUUUUCUGUUUGGGUUUUCUCUGGGCAGCUCAUGUUGGGAGAUUGUAAGGCUUAUAAAUUACGAUUUUAGUUGAAGUGUUCAAAUCGUGGAUGCGGCCUACAUAGGUGUUAUUGAAGCAGAGCAACAUGGCUCUAAAAUUCUUAAAACUGAUGCAACCUUUGUGCUUGAAGUGUCUCAUAGUAAUUCUUAAAGUGAUUGUUAUCCGAAACUCUUAUCUACUUUGAUAACCAUUUCAGCAAGAGAGAAAUGCUGUGUCAUUCAAUGGAGGGCAAUUUCCUUUACCACUUUGGCUUAGGGUGGAAGUUUGCCUUAGAAGACAUUUAAAAACACCAGCUUCAGUGCGAGUUAUAGUAUUUUAUCCAUCAGAUGUUAAGCCAAUAAUAGUAUGGUAUGUAUUUAAGUUCUGAAAUAUUAGGCCUUUAUAAUGAUAGCCUUUUACAGUUGUCUGUAAAAUUGUCAUCUUGGUUAAAUGUAGCUAGGUCAAACAGCACGUGGCUCUUACUUGGUAUACGAGUAGUUUAGAACUAGGCGUUAUUGAUCGCCUUUGUUUCAAUGCAGGGAGUGGUAUUUCUUGCACAUUGUGACACCAUCUCAGGCUAAUAAUUUGUAUGCAGACAGUAAGUUCGUGUGCACUCUUUGCACUUCAAGAUGGCGCUCCAACACUUGGGAAGGACUAAAAUGCGGCUACUCGGAGAGAAAUGUGUCGUUGAGCGCUCGGCCUACGUUUGGCAUCUGAUAGAUACGCGUGACCGGACUCGCUAACCAAUGGCUUGCUUUCUGUUUACUCUGGAAGUUCGCGCUAGAGAUUCAGCGACCAAUCAUUAUCGUUUCUCUGCCCACGUUGACGUAAUGUAAUUUGAUGAGUGAAAGGGCGGGUUUUGGGAUGUCGCAUUUCGUAAAAGAGUAGCUACGUAAAACAACCACAAAAAGUGUGAGUGAUGGGAGGUCUAGUCAGUGAUAACGAGAAUUUUGUUUGAUUGACAAUAACAAUAUGCGAAUAGGUUGGAUGAAAAGCAUAAUAGAAAAACAAAGUUAUUUGGGGGGCUGUGCUAAAUCUGGCGGACGUAUUCAUCUGCGAAUAGAAAAUACGGGGCGUAGUCUUAAGUUACGGUAUCCAAUAGGAUGAAUGGUUGGUCUAUAAAGUAUCGGGCGUAGACGUGAGUUGCCAUUUCGCUGAAGCAGUGGUCAGUCUAGUGCUGUGGGGGCUGGAGGAAAGGACGGGCGAAGCAGGAACUUGAAUAUUGGUAUUUAAACAGAAUCCGGAUCCAUCCUGAUGGAGACGGCCAUAAACCCGCCCCAUGACAGCUCCCUGGGCGGGGUCGACGUAGGCCUGCAGGGCGUCAUGACGAUGGAGCAGGGCCCUCCGGGCCCCGGGAAGCGCAUCCGGAAACCGUCACUGCUGUUUGAGGGAUUCGAGGGCCCGCCUUUGCUCCCCCAUGGGCAAGCGCCCCCCUCUGGGUCACCACGGCCCCUAGUAUACGACACCAACCGGCAGGGCCGCGCCACCAACCAGCUGCAGUUCCUCCAGAGAGCCAUGAUGAAGUCCCUGUGGAGGCACCACUUCGCAUGGCCCUUCCAUGAGCCUGUGGACGCCUCCAAGCUCAGCCUGCCUGACUAUCACAAGAUCAUCAAACAGCCCAUGGACAUGGGGACCAUCAAGAGGCGUCUGGAGAACAACUACUACCGCAGCGCCAGCGAGUGCAUGCAGGACUUCAACACCAUGUUCACCAACUGCUACAUCUACAACAAGCCAACAGAUGACAUUGUUCUGAUGGCCCAGUCCCUGGAGAAGGCUUUCCUUCAGAAGGUUGCCCAGAUGCCCCAGGAGGAGAUAGAACUGCCCCCUCCUCCCCCACGGGGCAAACCGGGCAAGCCAGGCAAAGGACGCAGAGCCGCAGUACCAGGAGGAGUGACCACUGCUCACCAGGUCCCGGCAGUGUCCCAGUCCGCGUACUCUCCCCCUACGCCGGACACCCCGGAGUCGCUGCUCUCCACCCCCCCACAGACACUCCAGGCCAAGAGUUUACCUCCUACCCUCCACAGUACUCCUGCUAUGCUAGGCUUACCCCCAACACAGCCCACAGCCAAGAAAAAGGGUGUGAAGCGGAAAGCAGACACCACCACACCCACCACCAUGGCCAUGCCCAUACCCAUCACCAUGGGCGUUGGCGGGAUUGGCAUGGGCAUGGUCGGUGGACCCGACUCCCCGUUGACACUAACCUCACUGGGGGUAGGCCAAGGCCUGGGCCUCGGCAUGGGGAUGGGUAUUGGUAUGGGCCGCGGCAGAGGCAUGGCGGGCGUCAAAGCAGCUGCAGGGAGGCGGGGAGUCAGCGGGCGCCCUAUCAAGCCCCCGAAGAAAGACCUGCCUGACUCGGUGCAGCUCCAGCCGGUGCGACGAGGCAAACUGGGCCAGCAGCUCCGGUACUGCAACGGGAUUCUCAAAGAGCUGCUGUCCAAGAAACACGCGGCGUACGCCUGGCCUUUUUACAAACCAGUGGACGCCUCCAUGCUGGGCCUACACGACUACCACGACAUCAUCAAGCAGCCCAUGGACCUCAGCACCAUCAAGAGGAAAAUGGACAGUCGAGAGUACCGGGACGCCCAGCAGUUUGCCGGUGACGUCAGGAUAAUGUAUUCUAACUGCUAUAAGUACAACCCUCCAGACCAUGACGUGGUAACCAUGGCACGCAAACUACAGGACGUCUUUGAGUUCUGCUUUGCCAAGAUGCCCGACGAGCCUGCGGCCCCUCCCGCUUCCAUGGGUGGACGCUCCUCAUCUUCUUCCUCUUCCUCCGUCCUCGUCUGAGAGCGACCCCAGCAGCGAGAGCGAGAGCGACAGCAGCCCCAGCUCGGACAGCGAGGAGGAGCGUGCACACCGCCUGGCCGAGCUGCAGGAACAGGUGUGUACACAGCUGAAAGCAGUUCAUGAGCAGCUGGCCGCACUCUCCCAGGGCCCCAUCGUCAAGCCUAAGAGGAAGAAAGAGAAGAAGGACAAGAAGAAGAAGAAGAAGCCCGAGAAGCAUCGGGGAAGCCGGGUGCCAGUUGAAGAGGAUAUGCCCAUCCGGCCGCCCAAAACGCCCAAGGUCACCAAGACGUCGAAGAUGCCGAAGACACCUAAGACCAAGAGCAGCAAAGGGGGCUCCACACAGGGCAAGAGGGGCACUGGCAAGAAGAGCAACAAGAGCAAGUCCUCCAAGAAGUCGCAGGCGGUGAUGCUCAGCAUGCACCAGAUGAGCGCUGCCGCCAUGCUCCCCCACUACGACUCAGAGGAGGAGGACGAGGUGUCGCCCAUGAGCUACGAUGAGAAGCGCCAGCUCAGCCUGGACAUCAACAAGCUGCCCGGGGAGAAGCUGGGCCGCGUGGUUCAUAUCAUCCAGGCGCGCGAGCCAUCGCUGCGCGACACUGACCCAGAGGAGAUCGAGAUAGACUUUGAGACGCUCAAGCCGUCCACGCUGCGUGAGCUGGAACGCUACGUUAUGACCUGCCUCCGCAAGAAGCCUCGCAAACCCUAUGUAGGGAAGAAAGGUGGAGCAGGGAAGUCCCGGGAGGAGUUGGCUCUGGAGAAGCAGUUGGAACUGGAGCAGAGGUUGCUGGAUGUCAGCGGGCAGCUCAACUCUGGCAAGAAGCCUCAGAAAACCAAAGCAGAGAAGCCCAGUGCUGUGGAGCCCCAUGCCGUGGCGUCUCGCCUCAGCGCUAGCAGCUCCAGCUCAGACUCUUCUUCCUCUUCCUCAUCGUCGUCCUCUGACACCAGUGACUCGGACUGAAUGCUCUGGAAGGACGGGCCUGGAUCCCGCGAACCCCGGAUAGGACAGUGCAGAACUGCUAACAGAGCCGCAGGCGGAUCAGACUAUAGUCAGAACUGACCUGGAAUUAAGAGAAAGCGUUCCCUGUGUUCAGAGAUGCCAAACCCAACAGAAAUAGUGGAUGGAGAAAUAUUGAGUUGUUUCAUUGCUUUAGAAACCUAGAGGGUUGACAGAGAGAUGAUGCAUCAUCUCAUUGGAAAAAGUGCCCACGGUAGGAUCUCUACAGGCUCUAGAAAGACGGCAGGAUCUCUACAGGCUCUAGAAAGACGGCAGGAUCUCUACAGGCUCUAGAAAGACGGCAGGAUCUCUACAGGCUCUAGAAAGACGGCAGGAACUCUACAGGCUCUAGAAAGACGGCAGGAUCUCUACAGGCUCUAGAAAGACGGCAGGAUCUCUACAGGCUCUAGAAAGACGGCAGGAUCUCUACAGGCUCUAGAAAGACGGCAGGAACUCUACAGGCUCUAGAAAGACGGCAGGAACUCUACAGGCUCUAGAAAGAAGGCAGGAUCUCUACAGGCUCUAGAAAGACUGCAGGAACUCUACAGGUUCUAGAAAGACGGCAGGAUCUCUACAGGCUCUAGAAAGACGGCAGGAUCUCUACAGGCUCUAGAAAGACGGCAGGAACUCUACAGGCUCUAGAAAGCGAGACGGGUGGAUGGGUACAGAACUCUGGGAUCAUCUUGUACUAUGUCUUUCUCGCCACACUGUGUAUAUACUGUGUACAAAUAUAUAAAUAUAUAUUUUUCUUUUAUAAAGAAGAAUUUUAAGGAAUUCUCAAAUGUGGGGAGAAAGAAAAGGUGUGGAAAGGCUGGCUUUAGUCUUUCUGUAUAGAGGGCAAAGUGUGUGUGAGAACGUGUGGGGCACGGCCUCGCACAGUAAACACAGUCCUGCUUAGUUGUUCAUCUUGUUGAUGCGGGUUGUUUAAGUCAUUGUGCAUUGUAAAGCACCUUGGCUCAGUAUAAAUGUAUGAACUGCACACAUGGAGAAACUGAAGAGCAUUAAGACCGCAACAUACGCAUGUACUUCUACAGCUUGAGAGGGGUGUCCGUUGAACACAUUUAAUGAGACGUUUCAGUUUAAGCAAACUAACUUUUUCCUAUUUUUUUUCACUCUGUAAAUGACGUGUUUCUACUUGUGACCAACUUGCAAAUAAAUUGUGAGGACAUGUCUCCAUUCAACAUUUACCCACACACAAACAGA
Molecule: RNA transcript, 5946 nt
Organism: Oncorhynchus gorbuscha (pink salmon)
Lineage: Eukaryota; Metazoa; Chordata; Actinopteri; Salmoniformes; Salmonidae
Gene name: bromodomain-containing protein 2-like
Exons: 12
Source: RefSeq, a predicted model, not a curated record